CCUACGGGGGGCAGCAGUGGGGAAUAUUGCACAAUGGGGGAAACCCUGAUGCAGCGACGCCGCGUGAGUGAAGAAGUAUUUCGGAAUGUAAAGCUCUGUUAGUAGGGAAGAAAAUGACGGUACCUGACUAAGAAGCCCCGGCUAACUACGUGCCAGCAGCCGCGGUAAUACGUAGGGGGCAAGCGUUAUCCGGAUUUACUGGGUGUAAAGAGAGCGUAGGCGGUAGGGCAAGUCUGGAGUGAAAGCCGGGGGCUCAACCACCGGACUGCAUUGGAAACUGGCAGGCUGGAGUGCAGGAGAGGUAAGUGGAAUUCCUGGUGUAGCGGUGAAAUGCGUAGAUAUAAGGAGGAACACCAGUGGCGAAGGCGGCUUGCUGGACUGUAACUGACGUUGAGGCUCGAAAGCGUGGGGAGCAAACAGGAUUAGAUACCCUUGUAGUC
Molecule: ribosomal RNA, 440 nt
Filed under: uncultured bacterium
Lineage: Bacteria
Description: partial 16S ribosomal RNA
Rfam family: Bacterial small subunit ribosomal RNA
Source: RNAcentral